RNAcentral lists this ribosomal RNA (303 nucleotides) under uncultured bacterium. RNAcentral describes it as "partial 16S ribosomal RNA". It matches the Rfam family "Bacterial small subunit ribosomal RNA", at positions 507 to 807 of the family's 1533-position model. The record is from RNAcentral.
AGCAGUCGCCACGGUAAUACGGAGGGAGCUAGCGUUGUUCAGAAUUACUGGGCGUAAAGCGCGCGUAGGCGGUUACUCAAGUCAGAGGUGAAAGCCCUGGGCUCAACCUGGGAAUUGCAGUGGAUACUGGGUCACUAGAGUGUGGUAGAGGAUAGUGGAAUUUCCGGUGUAGCAGUGAAAUGCGUAGAGAUCGGAAGGAACAUCUGUGGCGAAGGCGACUAUCUGGGCCAACACUGACACUGAGGCACGAAAGCGUGGGGAGCAAACAGGAUUAGAUACCCCGGUAGUCCCUGUCUCUUAUAC